This 254-nucleotide ribosomal RNA is filed under the name uncultured bacterium. RNAcentral's name for it is "partial 16S ribosomal RNA". It matches the Rfam family "Bacterial small subunit ribosomal RNA", at positions 524 to 777 of the family's 1533-position model. The record is from RNAcentral.
UACGUAGGGUGCAAGCGUUGUCCGGAAUUAUUGGGCGUAAAGAGCUCGUAGGCGGUCUGUCGCGUCUGCUGUGAAAAUCCAGGGCUCAACCCUGGACCUGCAGUGGGUACGGGCAGACUAGAGUGCGGUAGGGGAGAUCGGAAUUCCUGGUGUAGCGGUGAAAUGCGCAGAUAUCAGGAGGAACACCGGUGGCGAAGGCGGAUCUCUGGGCCGUAACUGACGCUGAGGAGCGAAAGCAUGGGGAGCGAACAGGA